AUGGGCGAAAGCCUGAUGCAGCAACGCCGCGUGAGCGAUGAAGGCCUUUGGGUCGUAAAGCUCUGUCCUUGGGGAAGAAUAAAUGACGGUACCCUUGGAGGAAGCCCCGGCUAACUACGUGCCAGCAGCCGCGGUAAUACGUAGGGGGCAAGCGUUAUCCGGAAUUAUUGGGCGUAAAGAGUGCGUAGGUGGUUUUGUGAGCGCGGGGUGAAAGGCAAUGGCUCAACCAUUGUAAGCCUUGCGAACUGUAAGACUUGAGUGCAGGAGAGGAAAGUGGAAUUCCUAGUGUAGCGGUGAAAUGCGUAGAUAUUAGGAGGAACACCAGUGGCGAAGGCGACUUUCUGGACUGUAACUGACACUGAGGCACGAAAGCGUGGGGAGCAAACAGGAUUAGAUACCCUGGUAGUCCACGCCGUAAACGAUGAGCACUAGGUGUCGGGGCCGCAAGGUUUCGGUGCCGCAGUUAACGCAUUAAGUGCUCCGCCUGGGGAGUACG
RNAcentral lists this ribosomal RNA (496 nucleotides) under uncultured bacterium. Its description in RNAcentral is "bacterial SSU rRNA". It matches the Rfam family "Bacterial small subunit ribosomal RNA", at positions 371 to 884 of the family's 1533-position model. The record is from RNAcentral.